Molecule: RNase P RNA, 330 nt
Filed under: uncultured Faecousia sp.
Lineage: Bacteria; Bacillati; Bacillota; Clostridia; Eubacteriales; Oscillospiraceae
Description: Bacterial RNase P class A
Rfam family: Bacterial RNase P class A
About the family: Ribonuclease P (RNase P) is a ubiquitous endoribonuclease, found in archaea, bacteria and eukarya as well as chloroplasts and mitochondria. Its best characterised activity is the generation of mature 5'-ends of tRNAs by cleaving the 5'-leader elements of precursor-tRNAs.
Source: RNAcentral
GGACAGCCGCGCAUAUCCGGCGAAAGGCGGAUAUGUGAGGAAAGUCCGGGCUCCACAGGGCAAGGAUAACGGGUAACGCCCGCCGAAGGCGACUUCAGGAAAAGUGCAACAGAGAGAUACCGCUCCGCAUUGCGGAGUAAGGAUGGAAAGGCGAGGUAAGAGCUCACCCGCCGCAUGGGAACAUUGCGGCGCUGUAAACUCUAUCCGGAGCAACACCGUGGAGGAGACAUAUGGUUUGCCCGACCGUCUCCGGGGAGGUGGCUUGAGCGUGCCGGCAACGGUACGCCUAGAUAGAUGGCUGUCAAUGACAGAACCCGGCUUACAGUACCG